RNAcentral lists this ribosomal RNA (640 nucleotides) under Escherichia coli. RNAcentral describes it as "partial 23S ribosomal RNA". It matches the Rfam family "Bacterial large subunit ribosomal RNA", at positions 1 to 672 of the family's 2925-position model. The record is from RNAcentral. Lineage: Bacteria; Pseudomonadati; Pseudomonadota; Gammaproteobacteria; Enterobacterales; Enterobacteriaceae.
GGGUUGUGAGGUUAAGCGACUAAGCGUACACGGUGGAUGCCCUGGCAGUCAGAGGCGAUGAAGGACGUGCUAAUCUGCGAUAAGCGUCGGUAAGGUGAUAUGAACCGUUAUAACCGGCGAUUUCCGAAUGGGGAAACCCAGUGUGAUUCGUCACACUAUCAUUAACUGAAUCCAUAGGUUAAUGAGGCGAACCGGGGGAACUGAAACAUCUAAGUACCCCGAGGAAAAGAAAUCAACCGAGAUUCCCCCAGUAGCGGCGAGCGAACGGGGAGCAGCCCAGAGCCUGAAUCAGUGUGUGUGUUAGUGGAAGCGUCUGGAAAGGCGCGCGAUACAGGGUGACAGCCCCGUACACAAAAAUGCACAUGCUGUGAGCUCGAUGAGUAGGGCGGGACACGUGGUAUCCUGUCUGAAUAUGGGGGGACCAUCCUCCAAGGCUAAAUACUCCUGACUGACCGAUAGUGAACCAGUACCGUGAGGGAAAGGCGAAAAGAACCCCGGCGAGGGGAGUGAAAAAGAACCUGAAACCGUGUACGUACAAGCAGUGGGAGCACAGAGCAAUCUGUGUGACUGCGUACCUUUUGUAUAAUGGGUCAGCGACUUAUAUUCUGUAGCAAGGUUAACCGAAUAGGGGAGCCGAAGG